GACGAACGCUGGCGGCGUGCUUAACACAUGCAAGUCGAACGGGCCUUGUCCCCUUUUUUUUGGGGGUGGGGUUAGUGGCGAACGGGUGAGUAACACGUGAGUAACCUGCCCCUCACUUCUGGAUAACCGCUUGAAAGGGUGGCUAAUACGGGGUGUUCUGGCCUGCUCGCAUGGGUGGGUUUGGAAAGAUUCGACCGGUUUUGGUUGUUUUGGUGGGGGAUGGGCUCGCGGCCUAUCAGCUUGUUGGUGGGGUGAUGGCCUGCCAAGGCUUUGACGGGUAGCCGGCCUGAGAGGGUGGGCGGUCACACUGGGACUGAGACGCGGCCCAGACCCCUACGGGAGGCAGCAGUGGGGAAUAUUGCACAAUGGGCGCAAGCCUGAUGCAGCGACGCCGCGUGAGGGAUGGAGGCCUUCGGGUUGUGAACCUCUUUCGCCAGUGAAGAAGGUCCUGCUCUUUGUGGUGGGGUUGACGGUAGCUGGGUUAAUGAAGCGCCGGCUAACUACGUG
RNAcentral lists this ribosomal RNA (507 nucleotides) under uncultured bacterium. RNAcentral describes it as "partial 16S ribosomal RNA". It matches the Rfam family "Bacterial small subunit ribosomal RNA", at positions 28 to 507 of the family's 1533-position model. The record is from RNAcentral.